AUCUAUGUACUAUUUAAAACACGAGUAGGAGUGUUUUAUCAGAUAUAAAACGCGAGGCGCAGUCGAGCGUUUUAUGUCUGAUAAAACACGACAACGAGUGUUUUGAAUAGCUUAAAAUACGACUACAAAAGAAUACUAAUUGGGAUGAACCAUUAUAUAAUCAUACUAAUUAGGAUGAACAAUUAUAUAAUGCCUCGUGCUUUAUCAGAUAUAAAGUCACUCCACGUGACAUAUUAUGGCUG
This is a non-coding RNA of Paramuricea clavata, 242 nucleotides long. Lineage: Eukaryota; Metazoa; Cnidaria; Anthozoa; Malacalcyonacea; Plexauridae. The record is from the annotation of a GenBank genome assembly.